CACGUAGGUGGCGACGUAAGUCGGGUGUGAAAGCCCCGGGCUCAACCUGGGAAUUGCAUUCGAGACUGCAUUGCUGGAGUACGGAAGAGGAGGGCGGAAUUCCCGGUGUAGCGGUGAAAUGCGUAGAUAUCGGGAGGAACAUCAGUGGCGAAGGCGGCCCUCUGGUCCAGUACUGACACUCAAGUGCGAAAGCGUGGGGAGCAAACA
This 207-nucleotide ribosomal RNA is filed under the name uncultured bacterium. RNAcentral's name for it is "partial 16S ribosomal RNA". It matches the Rfam family "Bacterial small subunit ribosomal RNA", at positions 568 to 774 of the family's 1533-position model. The record is from RNAcentral.